This is a long non-coding RNA of Orbicella faveolata, 622 nucleotides long. The record is from RefSeq and is a predicted model, not a curated record. NCBI's taxonomy places the organism in Eukaryota, Metazoa, Cnidaria, Anthozoa, Scleractinia, Merulinidae.
ACGUGAUAUAAUUAUUCGGUCGUUGUAUUCAUAAUUACUUGUAACUUCACAAUAAACUACAAAGCCCUUGUUGUGUUGACGUAAGUGGGUAAGCGCUAAAUAGAAUAUGUUGCAGUUGCACAACGUUUCCCGUUGUGAGAUCUUGUUGCAACUUUUCCAGUGAAUUUUCUCCAAAGCGUACCCACAACAUUGCACUUUUAGGUUUUUUACCUUAUCCUAAAACUAGGAUUUUCCUGGUGUCUCGAAUGUGCCAGUCAGUAAUGAUGUCAUUUUCUACUUCGUGUUUUGACUGUAAUGGUUUGAAAAUGAACUUUUUCGUCAUUUUUCACGUACGACAAAUCAGUGUGGCAAAACUUAAACAUAACUUUGGAAAAAAUUUGGAGAAAUCUGCCAAGAAUGUGCAGAGUUUGUCUCUCUUCACAAAUUGUCUAUGAUAUCGAAGGAUAUGAGAUCAGUGACUUCAUAUUGUAGGGUGGCCGAACUAUAGACAGAGCUUCCCUCAUUAGUUCAUUACAUUCGCUGUUCGGAGUCGGAAGAGCAAGCGUUUGCUCCAGGAGAAGACAAUGGCUCUGGGCAAGUCAACAAGGGCUAUGCAGACGCAGGACCUCGACCCACAGCAAUG